Molecule: ribosomal RNA, 543 nt
Filed under: Callosciurus notatus (plantain squirrel)
Lineage: Eukaryota; Metazoa; Chordata; Mammalia; Rodentia; Sciuridae
Description: partial 16S ribosomal RNA
Rfam family: Bacterial large subunit ribosomal RNA
Source: RNAcentral
UAGCAUAAACAGUAUUAGAGGCACUGCCUGCCCAGUGACACACGUUAAACGGCCGCGGUAUCCUGACCGUGCAAAGGUAGCAUAAUCAUUUGUUCUUUAAAUAGGGACUUGUAUGAACGGCUAAACGAGGGUUAAUCUGUCUCUUACUUUUAAUCAGUGAAAUUGACCUCCCCGUGAAGAGGCGGGGAUAGACAAAUAAGACGAGAAGACCCUAUGGAGCUUAAAUUUAUUAAUUCAAGCAAACACUCAUAAAACCUAUAAGGCACAACCUCUCUUGCCCUUGAGUUAAAAAUUUUGGUUGGGGUGACCUCGGAGCAUAAAUUAACCUCCGAAUGAUCUUAAUUCAGACCCAGACCCGUCUAAAUUUAUAUUCAUAAAUUGACCCAAGCUUUUGAUCAACGGAACAAGUUACCCUAGGGAUAACAGCGCAAUCCUACCCAAGAGUCCAUAUCGACAGUAGGGUUUACGACCUCGAUGUUGGAUCAGGACAUCCAAAUGGUGCAACCGCUAUUAAUGGUUCGUUUGUUCAACGAAUAAAGUCCU